RNAcentral lists this ribosomal RNA (253 nucleotides) under uncultured bacterium. RNAcentral describes it as "partial 16S ribosomal RNA". It matches the Rfam family "Bacterial small subunit ribosomal RNA", at positions 524 to 776 of the family's 1533-position model. The record is from RNAcentral.
UACGUAGGGGGCUAGCGUUGUCCGGAAUCAUUGGGCGUAAAGCGCGCGUAGGCGGCCAACUAAGUCAGACGUGAAAUCCCUCGGCUUAACCGGGGAACUGCGUCUGAUACUGGAUGGCUAGAGGUUGGGAGAGGGAUGCGGAAUUCCAGGUGUAGCGGUGAAAUGCGUAGAUAUCUGGAGGAACACCGGUGGCGAAGGCGGCAUCCUGGACCAAUUCUGACGCUGAGGAGCGAAAGCCAGGGGAGCAAACGGG